GUGAUGUACCUGAAGGAGUGAUAAGAGUUUACGCUCCAUUGCACUCAAAGGUUUCCAUGGCGAUCCAGCUGAACAGUCGGACGAAAGCCAAAGACAUCUUGGCAAGGUUUCAGUGCGAAAACAGUAACGGAACACCAGACAGUGACAGAAUAAACAACCAAAGUUUAUAUGAAA
Spea bombifrons (plains spadefoot toad) is the source of this 174-nucleotide long non-coding RNA. RefSeq lists it as uncharacterized. Lineage: Eukaryota; Metazoa; Chordata; Amphibia; Anura; Pelobatidae. The transcript is spliced from 2 exons. The record is from RefSeq and is a predicted model, not a curated record.